Molecule: ribosomal RNA, 446 nt
Filed under: uncultured bacterium
Lineage: Bacteria
Description: partial 16S ribosomal RNA
Rfam family: Bacterial small subunit ribosomal RNA
Source: RNAcentral
CCUACGGGUGGCAGCAGUCGAGAAUCAUUCACAAUGGGGGAAACCCUGAUGGUGCGACGCCGCGUGGGGGAAUGAAGGUCUUCGGAUUGUAAACCCCUGUCAUGUGGGAGCAAAUUAAAAAGAUAGUACCACAAGAGGAAGAGACGGCUAACUCUGUGCCAGCAGCCGCGGUAAUACAGAGGUCUCAAGCGUUGUUCGGAAUCACUGGGCGUAAAGCGUGCGUAGGCUGUUUCGUAAGUCGUGUGUGAAAGGCGCGGGCUCAACCCGCGGACGGCACAUGAUACUGCGAGACUAGAGUGAUGGAGGGGGAACCGGAAUGCACGGUGUAGCAGUGAAAUGCGUAGAGAUCGAGAGGAACACUCGUGGCGAAGGCGGGUUCCUGGACAUUAACUGACGCUGAGGCACGAAGGCCAGGGGAGCGAAAGGGAUUAGAUACCCUUGUAGUC